UGUGUCCUGAGAUGUUGAGUCACCUCUAGCCUGAGGCCUCUCUGCUUUGAGAAGGUUCCAUGAAGAGUAAUUUUCAACAAGAAAGAUCACAUGCAUCAAUAAAAAGAUUCUGUUAUUCUCUUCUGAAAACUCAAGACGAUCCUGGCAAUGCAUGAGAAGGACAAGAAGAAAGAGAAGAAGUUAGAUGACCAUUCAGCCUUUCUCGAGACUAAAGGAGAAACCUUCAGUUUCGAGACAAGAAGAAAAGGACAACCAGACAAGGCUGAGUACCAUUUGAUCCUUGCCCUGUCUGUGACACAGAGACGUAGGCUGCAGACUCUGUGAUCUUCUUCUUCCUCAUCUUCCCC
Molecule: long non-coding RNA, 347 nt
Filed under: Fukomys damarensis (Damara mole-rat)
Lineage: Eukaryota; Metazoa; Chordata; Mammalia; Rodentia; Bathyergidae
Description: lncRNA (ENSFDAG00000032570.1)
Source: RNAcentral